CAACGUGGGAAACCUACCUCUUAGCAGGGGAUAACAUUUGGAAACAGAUGCUAAUACCGUAUAACAAUGACAACCGCAUGGUUGUUAUUUAAAAGAUGGUUCUGCUAUCACUAAGAGAUGGUCCCGCGGUGCAUUAGCUAGUUGGUAAGGUAAUGGCUUACCAAGGCGAUGAUGCAUAGCCGAGUUGAGAGACUGAUCGGCCACAAUGGGACUGAGACACGGCCCAUACUCCUACGGGAGGCAGCAG
RNAcentral lists this ribosomal RNA (247 nucleotides) under uncultured bacterium. Its description in RNAcentral is "partial 16S ribosomal RNA". It matches the Rfam family "Bacterial small subunit ribosomal RNA", at positions 113 to 354 of the family's 1533-position model. The record is from RNAcentral.